This is a non-coding RNA of Pimephales promelas (fathead minnow), 232 nucleotides long. The record is from RefSeq and is a predicted model, not a curated record. Lineage: Eukaryota; Metazoa; Chordata; Actinopteri; Cypriniformes; Leuciscidae.
AGAGAGAGGUGUGACGGCAGGGAGAAAGCAAACCUCGCGCUCGCAGGAUUGUGCUGGCAACAUUUGGUUACUGAGGUAGCCUAAAUGUGAGACGUUGGCAGUCCACAUCUGCUGCGUCUUCUGAACAAAACAAGUGAGUUUGCUGACGUAUGACGACGCUUUGCAGGAGACCGCGGCGCGAUGAUUCGUCAAAGUUGCAGAAAAGUUGCGGUGAUUUUUCAAAAUUGCAAGG